UAAAAAGGUACUCAAGGGCACAAAAUGGAUGCCUAGACGUAUAUUACCGAUGAAGGACGUGGAAGACUGCGAUAAGCUUCGGGUAGCUGUCAACAAGCGACAAUCCGGAGAUUUCCGAAUGGGGAAACCCAAUACGAGUCAUGUCGUAUUAACUCUAUCUGAAUAAAAUAGGAUAGCUGUAGGGAACCAACUGAACUGAAACAUCUUAGUAGGUUGAGGAAAAGAAAGUAAAUAACGAUGGCGGGAGUAGUGGCGAGCGAAACCGUUAGAGCCCAAACCUUAUAAUCUUUCUUCUUUUAGAAGAAUAAGCUGACAGGCGAAUGAUUAUAAAGGGGUUGUGAUAUUACACGAGACCAAGCUAGAGCACUUAAGUAAUUAAGUUAUCUAGUUUGCGACUAGAGACUGUCAUCUUCUAGAUAAGGUAAGAAAUUAGCGUGGUUAGCAGAAUAGUUUGAAUGACUAGCCAAAGGACGUGAAAGCCGCGUAUGCGAAAACGACGCUGACCUUAUACGUGUUUUAUCGAGUAGGGCGGGGCACGAGAAACCCUGUCUGAAUCCGGCUGGACCACCAGCCAAGGCUAAAUAUAAUAUACGAUCGAUAGUGAACUAGUACAGUGAUGGAAAGGUGAAAAGAACCCCGGGAGGGGAGUGAAAUAGAUCCUGAAAUUUUGUGCCUACAAGGAGUCGGAGCCCCUCGGGGUGACGGCGUGCUUUUUGUAGAACGAUCCAGCGAGUUAAUUUCGUGCGCAAGGUUAAGUCAAGUGACGGAGCCACAGUGAAAGCGAGCCUGAAUAGGGCGAUUAAGUGCACGGGAUUAGACCCGAAACCGGGUGACCUAACCAUGAGCAGGUUGAAGCUUCUGUAACAGGAAGUGAAGGACCGAACCGUAGUCCGCAGCAAAGGGCCCGGAUGACUUGUGGUUAGAGGUGAAAUGCCAAUCGAACUCGGAGAUAGCUGGUUCUCCUCGAAAUAGCUUUAGGGCUAGCGUCAUGUAGUAGCAUAUGGGGGUAGAGCUCUGAAAAGGACUGGGGCUGGCAACGGUACCCACCCUUAUCAAACUACGAAUACCGUAUGUGUAAUCAUGGCAGUUAGAACGUCGGGGCUAAGCUCGACGCUCGAAAGGGAAACAGCCCAGACCAUCGUCUAAGGUCCCUAAAUUAUCACUCAGUGGGAAACAAGGUGAGAUUUCUUAAACAGCUAGGAUGUUGGCUUAGAAGCAGCCAUUCAUUUAAAGAGUGCGUAACAGCUCACUAGUCAAGAGAUCUUGCGUGGAAAAUGUAACGGGGCUAAAGUGAUAUACCGAAGACAUGGAUUUGCAAUUUAUUGCAAGUGGUAGAGGAGCGUUCCUAUCAGCAGUGAAGUCAGACCGUAAGGUACUGGUGGAGCGUUAGGAAGUGAGAAUGCUGGAAUGAGUAACCAUAAGACAGGUGAGAAUCCUGUCGGCCGUAAGAGCAAGGUUUCCUGAGCCAUGGUAAUCAUCUCAGGGUUAGUCGGGCCUAAGCCGAGGCGCAUAGCGUAGGCGAUGGACAUCAGGUUAAUAUUCCUGAACCGGUUAUAAUUUGUACACUGUUCACGGUGAGAUAGUCAGAGCGGAUUCAUGGUAUGUAUCCGUCCAACCUAGCGGGAACGCAAAGGGAGCGAAAGUUGAUCUUCGGAUUAACGAUUCUGGUGAAAGCACUGGCGAGAAAAGCAGGUGUACGUGUGAUUAUAGCCGCCCGUACCGCAAACCAACACAGGUGCUCGAGUCGAGUAGACUCAGGCUUACGAGAGAACCUUCGCUAAGGAACUCGGCAAUACAGCGACCGUAACUUCGGGAUAAGGUCUGCCCCCUCUUCUUUGAAGAGGAAUUGCCGCGUACACUCAGCAAGGUGGUUAAAUCGUCCAAGUGUAAUGACUUGGACAUGAGUACGCAACGUAUCUUAAGCCCUCAAGCUUUAGAUGCGUUCGUGAUAAAUCCUUUUUAAUCACAAAUUAUUCUUACUGAGAUAGAGCAAAUGAUUCAAUCAUGCACACGCAUGGAGUUAAAAUGCUCUUUUGUACGCGGGCACAUUCGUCUUUAUAGAUGAGGGGGCCGCAGCAAAAGAGCCCACGGAACUGUUUAUCAAAAACACAGGUCUCUGCUAACACGAAAGUGGAUGUAUAGGGGCUGACUCCUGCCCGGUGCCGGAAGGUUAAGGCGAAGGCUUCACGGUCUGAACUGAAGCCCCGGUGAACGGCGGCGGUAACUAUAACCGUCCUAAGGUAGCGAAAUUCCUUGUCAGGUAAGUUCUGACCCGCACGAAUGGAGUAAUCAUGUGGGCACUGUCUCAGCGAAGGACUCGGUGAAAGUGCAUUGGCGGUAAAGAUGCCGUCUGUCCGUACCAGGACGAGAAGACCCCAUGGAGCUUUACUACAGUUUUACAUUGAUACGAGUUUUGGCCUGUGUAGAAUAGGUGGGAGACGUUGAAGCAGAUACGCUAGUAUUUGUGGAGUCGAAAUGUGAAAUACCACCCCUGCCAAGGUUUUUAUCUAACCUGUGCCGUUAUCCGGUAUGGGAACAGUGUAUGAUGGGUAGUUUAACUGGGGCGGUUGCCUCCUAAAGAGUAGCGGAGGCGUUCAAAGGUUGGCUAGCAACGGAUGGAAAUCGUUGUGAUAGUGUAUGCGCAAAAGCCAGCUUGACUGUGAGGAGUACAUUCCAAGCAGAGACGAAAGUCGGAGCAAGUGAACCGCUGUACGUACAAUUUGUACAUAUAUGUGGGAAUGACAGCGAACACGGAUAAAAGUUACCCUGGGGAUAACAGGCUUAUAGCGCCCAAUAGUUCACAUAGACGGCGCUGUUUGGCACCUCGAUGUCGGCUCAUCACAUCCUGGAGGGGGAGCACCUUCCAAGGGUUCGGCUGUUCGCCGAUUAAAGUGGUACGCGAGCUGGGUUCAGAACGUCGUGAGACAGUUCGGUUUAUAUCCGGUACGGACGUCAGGAAAUUUGAGUGGAUUUGCCCCUAGUACGAGAGGACCGGGGUGAACGUACCUCUGGUGUAUCGAUUGUGGCCACCUGCUGCAUUGUCGAGUAGCUAUGUACGGUUCUAGAUAAGCGCUGAAAGCAUAUUAAGCGCGAAACUGACCACAAGAUUAGAUUUCCCUAUGAGGACACAGAAAGAUUAUCUGUUUGAUAGGUGCAAGGUAGAAGUGUAGUAAUACAUGUAGCUGAAGCAUACUAAUAGUCCCAUCGCCUUUUUAUG
Molecule: non-coding RNA, 3217 nt
Organism: Candidatus Saccharibacteria bacterium 49-20
Lineage: Bacteria; Candidatus Saccharimonadota
Source: Rfam